UACGUAGGGUGCAAGCGUUGUCCGGAAUUAUUGGGCGUAAAGAGCGUGUAGGCGGCCCCGUUAGUCCGCUGUGAAAGUCCAGGGCUCAACCCUGGAAUGCCGGUGGAUACUGCGUGGCUAGAGUCCGGAAGGGGCGAGUGGAAUUCCUGGUGUAGCGGUGAAAUGCGCAGAUAUCAGGAGGAACACCAAUGGCGAAGGCAGCUCGCUGGGACGUGACUGACGCUGAGACGCGAAAGCGUGGGGAGCAAACAGG
This 253-nucleotide ribosomal RNA is filed under the name uncultured bacterium. RNAcentral describes it as "partial 16S ribosomal RNA". It matches the Rfam family "Bacterial small subunit ribosomal RNA", at positions 524 to 776 of the family's 1533-position model. The record is from RNAcentral.